GAUGAACGCUGGCGGCGUGCCUAAUACAUGCAAGUCGAGCGAACAGACGAGGAGCUUGCUCCUCUGACGUUAGCGGCGGACGGGUGAGUCACACGUGUAUCACCUACCUAUCAUACUGGUAUAACUUCGGGACACCGGCGCUAAUACCGUAUAAUAUAUUGCACCGCAUGGUUCAAUAGUGAAAUACGGUUUUUCUGUCACUUCUAGAUGGAUCCGCGCCUCAUUAGCUAGUUGGUAAGGUAAAGGCGUACCAAGGCAACGCUGCGUAGCCGACCUGAGAGGGUGAGCGGCCGCACUGGGAGGGAGACACGGUACAGACGCAUAGGGGAGGGAGCCGUAGGGAAACGUCCGCAAGGGGCGAAAGCCAGACGGAGAAGGGCCGCGGGAGGAAUGAAGGUCUUCGGAUCGGAAAACACGGUUAUUAGGGAAGAACAAAUGUGUAAGUAACUAGGCACGUCAGGAAGGGACAUAAGCAGAAAGCCACGGCUAAAUAAGGG
Molecule: ribosomal RNA, 497 nt
Filed under: uncultured bacterium
Lineage: Bacteria
Description: partial 16S ribosomal RNA
Rfam family: Bacterial small subunit ribosomal RNA
Source: RNAcentral